RNAcentral lists this ribosomal RNA (501 nucleotides) under uncultured bacterium. Its description in RNAcentral is "bacterial SSU rRNA". It matches the Rfam family "Bacterial small subunit ribosomal RNA", at positions 24 to 518 of the family's 1533-position model. The record is from RNAcentral.
UCAGGAUGAACGCUAGCGACAGGCCUAACACAUGCAAGUCGAGGGGCAGCACAAGGAGCAAUCUGAGGUGGCGACCGGCGCACGGGUGAGUAACACGUAUGCAACCUGCCUGUAAGCGGGGAAUAACCCGUUGAAAGACGGACUAAUACCGCAUAAUACUAAAUUACUGCAUGGUAAUUUAUUUAAACAUUUAUGGCUUACAGAUGGGCAUGCGCAUGAUUAGCUAGUUGGAGAGGUAACGGCUCCCCAAGGCAACGAUCAUUAGGGGUUCUGAGAGGAAGGUCCCCCCACACUGGUACUGAGACACGGACCAGACUCCUACGGGAGGCAGCAGUGAGGAAUAUUAGUCAAUGGACGAGAGUCUGAACCAGCCAAGUCGCGUGCAGGAAGAAUUGUCCUAUGGAUUGUAAACUGCUUUUGCAGGGGAAUAAAGUGCAUCACGUGUGAUGUUUUGUAUGUACUCUGCGAAUAAGGAUCGGCUAACUCCGUGCCAGCCGCCGC